GUGUCAGCAGCCGCGGUAAUACAGAGGGUGCAAGCGUUAAUCGGAUUUACUGGGCGUAAAGCGUGCGUAGGCGGUUCAGUAUGUCGGUCGUGAAAUCCCCGGGCUUAACCUGGGAACUGCGGCCGAAACUGCUGGGCUUGAGUGUGGUAGAGGGCGGUGGAAUUCCGGGUGUAGCGGUGAAAUGCGUAGAGAUCCGGAGGAACAUCAAUGGCGAAGGCAGCCGCCUGGGCCACAACUGACGCUGAGGUACGAAAGCGUGGGGAGCAAACAGGAUUAGAUACCCUGGUAGUCC
RNAcentral lists this ribosomal RNA (292 nucleotides) under uncultured bacterium. RNAcentral's name for it is "partial 16S ribosomal RNA". It matches the Rfam family "Bacterial small subunit ribosomal RNA", at positions 505 to 796 of the family's 1533-position model. The record is from RNAcentral.